Molecule: ribosomal RNA, 375 nt
Filed under: uncultured eukaryote
Lineage: Eukaryota
Description: SSU rRNA
Rfam family: Eukaryotic small subunit ribosomal RNA
Source: RNAcentral
AGCUCCAAUAGCGUAUACUACCACUGUUGCGGUUAAAACGCUCGUAGUCGAAAUCUUUUUCCAAGACGAAAUGUAUUUCGUCUUGGUACUAUGUUAACGAUUUGGAUGAGGGGACGGUUACACGUGAAUCCAAUUCCAGUCGCUGACAAGUUACCGUGAAAAAAUUAUGGUGUUCAAGGCAAGCACGAAGUGCUCUGGAUACAUUAGCAUGGGAUAACACCGAAUCGCUUCGAACCAUGGGUGCGCUGAGAGCACAAGGGAUCGAAGUAACCUAAUAGGAGCAGUCGGGGGUAGUCGCAUUCCAUCGCUAGGGGUGAAAUUCUUUGACCGAUGGAAGACGAACAAUAGCGAAAGCAUCUACCAAGAAUGUUUUCA